Molecule: ribosomal RNA, 849 nt
Filed under: Escherichia coli
Lineage: Bacteria; Pseudomonadati; Pseudomonadota; Gammaproteobacteria; Enterobacterales; Enterobacteriaceae
Description: bacterial SSU rRNA
Rfam family: Bacterial small subunit ribosomal RNA
Source: RNAcentral
AUCUGGAGGAAUACCGGUGGCGAAGGCGGCCCCCUGGACGAAGACUGACGCUCAGGUGCGAAAGCGUGGGGAGCAAACAGGAUUAGAUACCCUGGUAGUCCACGCCGUAAACGAUGUCGACUUGGAGGUUGUGCCCUUGAGGCGUGGCUUCCGGAGCUAACGCGUUAAGUCGACCGCCUGGGGAGUACGGCCGCAAGGUUAAAACUCAAAUGAAUUGACGGGGGCCCGCACAAGCGGUGGAGCAUGUGGUUUAAUUCGAUGCAACGCGAAGAACCUUACCUGGUCUUGACAUCCACGGAAGUUUUCAGAGAUGAGAAUGUGCCUUCGGGAACCGUGAGACAGGUGCUGCAUGGCUGUCGUCAGCUCGUGUUGUGAAAUGUUGGGUUAAGUCCCGCAACGAGCGCAACCCUUAUCCUUUGUUGCCAGCGGUCCGGCCGGGAACUCAAAGGAGACUGCCAGUGAUAAACUGGAGGAAGGUGGGGAUGACGUCAAGUCAUCAUGGCCCUUACGACCAGGGCUACACACGUGCUACAAUGGCGCAUACAAAGAGAAGCGACCUCGCGAGAGCAAGCGGACCUCAUAAAGUGCGUCGUAGUCCGGAUUGGAGUCUGCAACUCGACUCCAUGAAGUCGGAAUCGCUAGUAAUCGUGGAUCAGAAUGCCACGGUGAAUACGUUCCCGGGCCUUGUACACACCGCCCGUCACACCAUGGGAGUGGGUUGCAAAAGAAGUAGGUAGCUUAACCUUCGGGAGGGCGCUUACCACUUUGUGAUUCAUGACUGGGGUGAAGUCGUAACAAGGUAACCGUAGGGGAACCUGCGGUUGGAUCACCUCCUUACCUUAAAGAAGC